RNAcentral lists this ribosomal RNA (2804 nucleotides) under Begonia fuchsioides. RNAcentral describes it as "eukaryotic LSU rRNA". The stretch from base 2 to 2052 matches the Rfam family "Eukaryotic large subunit ribosomal RNA". The record is from RNAcentral. Lineage: Eukaryota; Viridiplantae; Streptophyta; Magnoliopsida; Cucurbitales; Begoniaceae.
GCAACCCUAGGUCAGUGGGAUUACCCGCUGAGUUUAAGCAUAUCAAUAAGCGGAGGAAAAGAAACUCAUAAGGAUUCCCUUAGUAACGGUGAGCGAACCGGGAAAUGCCCAGCUUGAGAAUCGGGAGCCUACGGCGUCUGAAUUGUAGUCUGGAGAAGCGUCCUCAGCGGCAGACCGAGCUCAAUUCCCCUGUAAGGGGGUGUCGGAGAGGGUGAGAGCCCUGUCGCGCUCGGACCCUGUCGCACCACGAGGCGCUGUCUACGAGUCAGGUUGUUUGGGAAUGCAGCCCAAAUCGGGCGGUAAAUUCCGUCCAAGGCUAAAUAUUGGUGAAAGACCGAUAGCAAACAAGUACCGCGAGGGAAAGAUGAAAAGGACUUUGAGAAAAGAGUCAAAGAGUACUUGAAAUUAUCGGGAGGGAAGCGGAUGGGGGCCGGCGGUGCACCCCGGUCGGAUGUGGAACGGCAAUGAGCUGGUCUGCCAAUCGACUCGGGGCGUGGACCGACGCGGAUUGGGGCAGCGUCGCAAGCCUGGGCCUUUGUUGUGCUCGCGGAGACGUCGUCGCCCCGAUCGUCGCUAACAGCGAGCGCCCGUGGCUUGCUCAGGCAUCAGCGCGCUCCAGGCGUUGGCCUGUAGUCUCCCCAUUCGGCCCAUCUUGAAACACGGACCAAGGAGUCUGACAUGUGUGCAAGUCAACCGGCCAGAAAACCCGUGAGGCGCAAGGAAGCUGAGUGGCGGGAUCCCCUUGAGGGUUGCACCGCUGACCGACCUUGAUCUUCUGAGAAGGGUUUGAGUGUGGGCAUGCCUGUCGGGACCCGAAAGAUGGUGAACUAUGCCUGACCGGGGCAAAGCCAAAGGAAACUCUGGUGGAGGCCUGCAGCGAUACUGACGUGCAAAUCGUUCGUCUAACUUGGGUAUAGUGGCGAAAGACUAAUCGAACCAUCCAGUAGCUGGUUCCCUCCGAAGUUUCCCUCAGGAUAGCUGGAGCCCAUGGGCGAGUUCUAUCGGGUAAAGCCAAUGAUUAGAGGCAUCGGGGCGCAACGCCCUUGACCUAUUCUCAAACUUUAAAUAGGUAGGACGGCACGGGUACUUUGUUGAGCCGCGCCACGGAAUCGAGAGCUCCAAGUGGGCCAUUUUUGGUAAGCACAACUGGCGAUGCGGGAUAAACCAAAAGCCGGGUUACAGUGCCCAACUGCGCGCUAACCUAGAACCCACUAAGGAGUGUGUAACAACUCACCUGCCGAAUCAACUAGCCCCAAAAAUGGAUGGCGCUGAAGCGCGCAACCUAUACCCUGCCGUCAGGGCAAGUACCAUGCCCCGAUGAGUAGGAGGGCGCGGCGGUUGCUGCAAAACCUGGGGCGCGAGCCCGGUCGGAGCGGCCGUCAGUGCAGAUCUUGGUGGUAGUAGAAAAUAUUCAAAUGAGAACUUUAAAGGCCGAAGAGGGGAAAGGUUCCAUGUAAACAGCACUUGCACAUGGGCAUCGAACAGUCGACUCAGAACUAGUACGGACAAGGGGAAUCCGACUGUUUAAUUAAAACAAAGCAUUGCGAUGGUCCUUGCAGAUGCUCAUGCAAUGUGAUUUCUGCCAAGUGCUUUGAAUGUCCAAGUGAAGAAAUUCAACCAAGCGCAGGUAAACGGCGGGAGUAACUAUGCCUCUCUUAAGGUAGCCAAAUGCCUCGUCAUCUAAUUAGUGACGCGCAUGAAUGGAUUAACGAGAUUCCCACUAUCCCUGUCUACUAUCAUAGCAACGUUGCUUUUUGAUCCUUCGAUGUCGGCUCUUCCCAUCAUUGUGAAGCAGAAUUCACCAAGUGUUGGAUUGUUCACCCACCAAUAGGGAACGUGAGCUGGGUUUAGACCGUCGUGAGACAGGUUAGCUUUACCCUACUGAUGAUAGCGUCGCAAUAGUAAUUCAACCUAGUACGAGAGAAACCGUUGAUUCGCACAAUUGGUCAUUGUGCUUGGUUGAAAAGCCAGUGCCGUGAAGCUACCGUGUGCUGGAUUAUGACUGAACACCUCUAAGUCAUAAUCCGGGCUAGAAGCAACGCAUGCGCCCGCCGCCCGAUCGCCUACCAGCUGUAGGGGCCCUCGGCCCCCAAGGGCAUGGUGUGCCUAAUGCCGCCGGUGCGUGCGAAAGGCCGACGGUGAGGGUCCGAAUGGGUGUGAUAGGGCGUGCGAGGGAAAGACUCAGGCCUUUCUGGGUUUGGUGGAGGAUUGGUCGGUAACGUGUGGAUUUGUGGAAGAUUGGUGGUGAGAAAUUAUGGGAAGGCUUGGGUGGAUUGUGUAAUGGUUCGAUAGGUGUUGGGUGAUGGCUCGGGGAAGGUACGUUUUGGCGAAGGAGGAGGGAAGUGGUCAAGGGGGUUGAGCGAUCGGAACACUCGAGCGAUUGAGGGUGUUUCGGUCGGUAGGCCUUGAAGGUGGCUCGGAUGUUACGCACUGAGGUCAACAAGGGGUGAUGCUCACUUGGCCGGAUGUGACUCACCGGAGAAGAGAGAUCGGAUGAGGGAUUUUGACAAUAAGGCCCUAAGCACUUUGAUUAUCAAAUUUUCACUGCAAUACAAUGAGGCGGACUAGCCUUUUUAUAGACGAAAAUAACUAAGGAAAGUAAACUAAUGAGAAAACAAGGUCGUCGGAUGGUGAUCCGUGUGUAUUGAUCCAUUGGUGAUCCGUGGGGUGCGUGAUCCGUGAAGUAUGCCAUCGGUUAAAGUCUAGCAGCGUGGAUGGCGUCAAAUCCGGGAUGAACUUGGCCGGGGAGACGGGAUGGUGCUCGGCAAAAUGCUGCGCGCGGGAGCCAUGUGGCGGAGCGCCAG